Molecule: long non-coding RNA, 1225 nt
Organism: Dasypus novemcinctus (nine-banded armadillo)
Lineage: Eukaryota; Metazoa; Chordata; Mammalia; Cingulata; Dasypodidae
Source: Ensembl
GAGAAGCGGAGGCCUCUCAGUUAAGACCACUGAAUAUAAAGAAAGAUGAUGAGUUUUUCCAUUUCGUCCUCCUCUGCUUUGCCAUUGGGGCGCUCCUGGUGUGUUAUCACUAUUAUGCAGGUACGCAGGGGCCCUGGGGCACGGGGAUGGCGGGGGGGGGGGGGGGGGGGUUGGGGGUGUGGCCCGGGGACCCCAGCCCGCUGGCUGACCACCCACUCCCUGCCCCUGCCCUCCCAGACUGGUUCAUCUCCCUCGGGGUCGGCCUGCUCACCUUCGCCUCCCUGGAGACGGUCGGCAUCUACUUCGGGCUGAUUUACCGGGUCCACUCCAUCCUGCAAGCCUUCAUCCCCCUCUUCCAGAAGUUGAGGCAGAUGGGGUUCAGGAAGAUCAACUGAGGCCCGCGGCAGGGGAGCCCCCGGGCCAGGCCCCAGCCGUGCGUCUGCACCCCCUGAGCCGCCGAGGACCGAGCACUGCUCCAGGAGCUGCCCCGACGGACAAGCCAGGGCGAUCAAGAGCGCGCUUUUCCUUCCACGGGGUCGGAACGCUGGCGCCGGCCUGGGCCGGGGCCUCCUCUGGGCAGGGCUGGCGUGCAAUCCAGUUGCCCAGGCGGGAGGCCGGCGGUGGCCUGAGCCCUUCCCGCUACCAGGACGGGCAGCAGGGGCCAGGAUGUCGCUGCUCUCAGGAGACAGGAGGAGGCCCCGGGCCUGCCAGCUGUCGCCUCUUUGGGCUUAGGGAUUCUCUCACCCCCCCCCCCCCCAGGCCAUCCCCGCGGGCUCUCACAUCCACAGGGCCAUCCCAGGACCAACAGACGAUCCGCUGCCCCGAGGCAGGGUGCCACCAGCCAGCACUCCCCAGGUGAACCUGGGCCCGGGGAGAUGUGGGGGACGAAAGUCACAGCGUCACCUUCCCUCAGCCUCGCCACCCAGCGCCAACCCCACUGCCCUGGACCCCCAUCAAGAUUCAAAUAAACUUUCUCUUCCCUGGACUAAAAAGAGUCAGCGUAACAUUCUUUUGGAUUUUUUGAGUGCCAGGACACGUUUGAGGUCUCCUUUGACCCUGUCUAGUCAAGGAAGUUGCCUUGUCCUACUGGAUAAAGUAUAGCAGGGCAUAAAUGUAAAACAUCUCGGGAAACGGACUUUGGCCCAGUGGUUAGGGCGUCUGUCUACCACAUGGGAGGUCUGCGGUUCAAACCCCGGGCCUCCUUGACCCGUGUGGAGCUGGCCCA